CAUGAGUCUAUGCAUAUCAAAUUCACAAGAAUCGGAGUCCGUUUGACCCCUCAAAUCACUAGCUUAAACUAUUUUAAGUUUGAAGCCCUAACCUCCAUUUUUACCCUCUAAUUCCUUAAAUUUUCAGUGUUUGUCCAUGAUUUUACACCAUAAUAUCAUAAUCUAAGUCCAAAUACCCAUACCAGAUGAAAUCCCUCGAAAAUCUCUCAAAAAUCACCCGAAAACCCUCUUAGUCCGAAGUCCAAAGUGUUUGUUCUCUUUUAAUUUCGCAAAAUCACUGUUCACUUAAUCACAGCCCAGAUUCCGCUUCUGCGGUUCUAAUACCCCUUCUGCGGUACCGCUUUCGUGCCCCAAUAACCGCUUCUGCCAUUUUAAUUUAACUCCCCUAUGACUGUAUGCGACAAGGAUCCCGCUUCUGCAGAUCGCCCAUAUCCACUUAUGCGGACCCACUAAUGCGGACCAAGUUCCGCUUCUGCGGAACUUCUCAAUUCCACCCCAAAUCACUUAUGCGCUCCCUUAGCCAACCGCUUUUACGGUCCAUUUCCGUAGAAGCAGAAAUACCAGAUGACAAC
Molecule: long non-coding RNA, 572 nt
Filed under: Nicotiana benthamiana
Lineage: Eukaryota; Viridiplantae; Streptophyta; Magnoliopsida; Solanales; Solanaceae
Description: long non-coding RNA (NBEN_LNC033439)
Source: RNAcentral